Pelobates cultripes (western spadefoot toad) is the source of this 112-nucleotide non-coding RNA. Lineage: Eukaryota; Metazoa; Chordata; Amphibia; Anura; Pelobatidae. The record is from the annotation of a GenBank genome assembly.
GUAUAUCUGUGUGUGUGUGUGUGUGUAUGUAUCUGACAUACAGAUAUACACACCUUCACACACAGUGUGUAUCUGUGUGUCAGAUACAUACACACACACACACAGAUACACA